AACGAACGCUGGCGGCAUGCCUAACACAUGCAAGUCGAACGAAGCCUUCGGGCUUAGUGGCGCACGGGUGCGUAACGCGUGGGAAUCUGCCCCUUGCUUCGGAAUAACAGUUAGAAAUGACUGCUAAUACCGGAUGAAGUCUUCGGACCAAAGAUUUAUCGGCAAGGGAUGAGCCCGCGUAGGAUUAGGUAGUUGGUGGGGUAAAGGCCUACCAAGCCGACGAUCCUUAGCUGGUCUGAGAGGAUGAUCAGCCACACUGGGACUGAGACACGGCCCAGACUCCUACGGGAGGCAGCAGUGGGGAAUAUUAGACGAUGGACGCAAGUCUGAUCCAGCAAUGCCGCGUGAGUGAUGAAGGCCUUAGGGUUGUAAAGCUCUUUUACCAGGGAUGAUAAUGACAGUACCUGGAGAAUAAGCACCGGCUAACUCCGUG
This 433-nucleotide ribosomal RNA is filed under the name uncultured bacterium. Its description in RNAcentral is "partial 16S ribosomal RNA". It matches the Rfam family "Bacterial small subunit ribosomal RNA", at positions 29 to 507 of the family's 1533-position model. The record is from RNAcentral.